Molecule: ribosomal RNA, 468 nt
Filed under: uncultured bacterium
Lineage: Bacteria
Description: partial 16S ribosomal RNA
Rfam family: Bacterial small subunit ribosomal RNA
Source: RNAcentral
GACGAACGCUGGCGGCGUGCUUAACACAUGCAAGUCGAACGGAAAGGCCCUGCGUUUGUGGGGUGCUCGAGUGGCGAACGGGUGAGUAACACGUGAGUAACAUGCCCUUGACUUUGGGAUAACUUCAGGAAACAGGGGCUAAUACCGGAUAGGAGCUCCUGAAGCAUGGUGGGGGUUGGAAAAAUUCGGCGUUUGGGGAUGGACUCGAGGGUUAUCAGCUUGAUGGUGGGGUCGUGGCUUACAAAGGCUUUGAAGGGUAGCCGGCCUGAGAGGGUGACCGGCCACAUUGUGACUGAGGUAGGGCCCAGACUGCUACUGGAGGCAGCAGUGGAGAAUAUUGCGCAAUGGGCGGAAGCCUGAUGCAGAGACGCCGCGUGCGGGAUGACUGCCUUCGGGUUGUAAACCGCUUUCGCCUGUGACGAAGCGUGAGUGACGGUAAUUGGUCAGAAAGCACCGGCUAACUACGUG